AAGUCGUAACAAGGUUUCCGUAGGUGAACCUGCGGAAGGAUCAUUAACACGUAUCCAACGUUAAACAACCCUGUGAACUUUCAACCCCGCCGGAAUGAGAUUAAUUUCCAACUCCGGCGAAGACAAGUGACCUGGCACCUGACCUCAUCAAAGCUCUGACAGCGUGCCUCUGGAUGCUUAAUGGAAGGGUGACGCAGUAACGAUCGCUGGAGGCCCACACGGCCGGCGACCGGGUCAGCGGCAUUUGACGACAGUUCCUCUUUAACUUGAGUUGAGCGAAAACAAAAAACUAAUACAACUGUUAACAAUGGAUAUCUUGGUUCUC
This 325-nucleotide unclassified non-coding RNA is filed under the name fungal sp. RNAcentral's name for it is "partial internal transcribed spacer region". The stretch from base 1 to 46 matches the Rfam family "Eukaryotic small subunit ribosomal RNA", at positions 1786 to 1831 of the family's 1831-position model. The record is from RNAcentral. Lineage: Eukaryota; Fungi.